GUGUCAGCAGCCGCGGUAAUACCGGCAGUUCGAGUGAUGGCCGAUAUUAUUGGGCCUAAAGCGUUCGUAGCUGGCCGAUCAAGUCUGUCGGGAAAUCUGUUCGCUUUACGAACAGGCGUCCGGCGGAAACUGGUCGGCUUGGGACCGGAAGACUCGAGGAGUACGUCCGGGGUAGGAGUGAAAUCCCGUAAUCCUGGACGGACUACCGAUGGCGAAAGCACCUCGAGAGCACGGAUCCGACAGUGAGGAACGAAAGCUGGGGUCUCGAACCGGAUUAGAAACCCCCGUAGUCC
This 293-nucleotide ribosomal RNA is filed under the name uncultured prokaryote. RNAcentral's name for it is "partial 16S ribosomal RNA". It matches the Rfam family "Archaeal small subunit ribosomal RNA", at positions 455 to 747 of the family's 1478-position model. The record is from RNAcentral.